RNAcentral lists this ribosomal RNA (444 nucleotides) under uncultured bacterium. RNAcentral's name for it is "bacterial SSU rRNA". It matches the Rfam family "Bacterial small subunit ribosomal RNA", at positions 29 to 506 of the family's 1533-position model. The record is from RNAcentral.
ACGAACGUUGGCGGCGUGGAUGAGGCAUGCAAGUCGCGGGAAUCCCCAGCAAUGGGGGGAACCGGCGUAAGGGGCAGUAAGGCGUAGGUACCUACCCCCAGGUCCGGGAUAGCCCGCCGAGAGGCGGGGUAAUACCGGAUGACCUCGGGAGAGCAAAGCUCCGGCGCCUGAGGCGGGGCCUACGUGAUAUUACCUAGUUGGCGGGGUAACGGCCCACCAAGGGGGAGAUGUCUAGCGGGUGUGAGAGCACGACCCGCGCCACUCGCACUGAGACACUGGCGAGACACCUACGGGUGGCUGCAGUCGAGGAUCUUCGGCAAUGCGCGCAAGCGCGACCGAGCGACGCCGCGUGGGCGACGAAGGCCUUCGGGUUGUAAAGCCCUGUCGAGGGGGAGAAAGCCGCGAGGCGGAUCCAUCCCUGGAGGAAGCUCGGGCUAAGUUCGU